This 507-nucleotide unclassified non-coding RNA is filed under the name Zea mays. RNAcentral describes it as "misc RNA Zm00001eb294710". The record is from RNAcentral. Lineage: Eukaryota; Viridiplantae; Streptophyta; Magnoliopsida; Poales; Poaceae.
UUGCCUGGCCUCCGGUCUCACCUCCGCACGCAUCUGGCCUCUGGAAACAGCUCCCCACGCACGCAUCUGGCCUCCGCAUCCGUCGCCGUCUCCCAGAUCCCCGACGUAGCUCGCCUCCACAUUCGCCCCCGUGUGUGGGCGUGGUCAUGGCGACACGCGCCGACAUCUCCGAGAGAGGCGCUGGCAUCCGGUGGCCGGGGCCUGCGCCUGCGCCUGCUCCAACGCGGUUACAGCUCCUCCGCCUGCGUCUUCAUCGUCGUCGGUGCCUCACAGCCGCGGCCAGGGGAGACGCUCCGCGACGAGGCUGAAGGAGAACAAGUGCUAGACGCACCGUGCACAGUUUCUAUCAAAGGGGCAAGCUCCUCAGAGGGCGGCGAUGCUGGCGGGGUGCUUGCAGCUUCUUUCUUGACUUCAAGGGAUGGUGCUGGAAUCUUCUUCAUGGUGAGGGGCUCAAACAACUCCGGCGGGGAUCUUGGGAGGAUUCAGGGUGCUCUUGCUUAUCCAUAG